This 376-nucleotide ribosomal RNA is filed under the name uncultured soil bacterium. RNAcentral's name for it is "bacterial SSU rRNA". It matches the Rfam family "Bacterial small subunit ribosomal RNA", at positions 26 to 391 of the family's 1533-position model. The record is from RNAcentral.
AGGAUGAACGCUGGCGGCGUGCUUAACACAUGCAAGUCGAACGAUGAAGGCUGGAGCUUGCUCUGGCUGGAUUAGUGGCGAACGGGUGAGUAACACGUGAGUAACCUGCCCCAGACUCUGGGAUAAGCGCUGGAAACGGCGUCUAAUACCGGAUACGAGCUUCCACCGCAUGGUGAGGAGCUGGAAAGUAAUUUCGGUCUGGGAUGGACUCGCGGCCUAUCAGCUUGUUGGUGAGGUAAUGGCUCACCAAGGCGACGACGGGUAGCCGGCCUGAGAGGGUGACCGGCCACACUGGGACUGAGACACGGCCCAGACCUCCGUACGGGAGGCAGCAGGUGGGGAAUAGUCGCACAAGUGGGACGCAAGCCUGAUGCAG